Molecule: long non-coding RNA, 666 nt
Organism: Tachysurus vachellii
Lineage: Eukaryota; Metazoa; Chordata; Actinopteri; Siluriformes; Bagridae
Exons: 3
Source: RefSeq, a predicted model, not a curated record
UUCACUUUUAAGCAGUGGAAAUGGGAGGAUCAGCAAAGGACUUAAACAUCUGGAUAAGUCUUUAUUUUUCUUCUCAGCGUGUCAAUUUAUCCACAACGGCUUCUAAUGAUCAGAAGCAUACAACAGAGAGCAGAGGGGAAGGGGUAGGAGGUGGUUGAGAGCGAGGACAGGAAAAGGAAGUAUUUUCUUCUCAUCGCCCACUGUGCCUGAGCCAUCCUUGAGCAAGCGCAAGUUCUCCUAGCUUAUCCAAACUAUUCUCAGGUCACGGGGAGCCUGUGCCUAUCUCAGGCAUCAUCGGGUAUCAAGGCAGGAUACACCCUGGAUGGAGUGCCAACCCAUCGCAGGGCACACACACACUCAUUCACUCACGCAAUCACACAAUCACACACUACGGACAAUUUUCCAGAGAUGCCAAUCAACCUACCAUGCAUGUCUUUGGACCGGGGGAGGAAACCGGAGUACCCGGAGGAAACCCCCGAGGCACGGGGAGAACAUGCAAACUCCACACACACAAGGCGGAGGCGGGAAUCGAACCCCCAACUGUGGAGGUGUGAGGCGAACUAAGCCACCGUGCCCCCCUGAAUGAAAAUGUAAUCGGUUUUAUUUGUAUUGUACUUUUUAACAAUGGAUGUAGUUACAAAGCAGCUUUACAAAGAAAAACUCUUC